This 468-nucleotide ribosomal RNA is filed under the name uncultured bacterium. RNAcentral's name for it is "bacterial SSU rRNA". It matches the Rfam family "Bacterial small subunit ribosomal RNA", at positions 30 to 514 of the family's 1533-position model. The record is from RNAcentral.
CGAACGCUGGCGGCGUGCUUAACACAUGCAAGUCGAGCGGUAAGGCCUUUCGGGGUACACGAGCGGCGAACGGGUGAGCAACACGUGGGUGAUCUGCCCUGCACUUCGGGAUAAGCCUGGGAAACUGGGUCUAAUACCGGAUAUGACCUCCUAUCGCAUGGUGGGUGGUGGAAAGAUUUAUCGGUGCAGGAUGGGCCCGCGGCCUAUCAGCUUGUUGGUGGGGUAAUGGCCUACCAAGGCGACGACGGGUAGCCGACCUGAGAGGGUGACCGGCCACACUGGGACUGAGACACGGCCCAGACUCCUACGGGAGGCAGCAGUGGGGAAUAUUGCACAAUGGGCGAAAGCCUGAUGCAGCGACGCCGCGUGAGGGAUGACGGCCUUCGGUUGUAACCGUACUUUCUAGCAGGACGAAGCGCAACGUGACGGUACCGUGCAGAAGAAGCACCGCUAACUACGUGCCAGCAG